RNAcentral lists this ribosomal RNA (670 nucleotides) under bacterium 04-L049393-122-001-D01. RNAcentral's name for it is "bacterial SSU rRNA". It matches the Rfam family "Bacterial small subunit ribosomal RNA", at positions 59 to 746 of the family's 1533-position model. The record is from RNAcentral.
CAGUCGAGCGGUAAGGCCUUUCGGGGUACACGAGCGGCGAACGGGUGAGUAACACGUGGGUGAUCUGCCCUGCACUCUGGGAUAAGCUUGGGAAACUGGGUCUAAUACCGGAUAUGACUGCAUGCCGCAUGGUGUGUGGUGGAAAGAUUUAUCGGUGCAGGAUGGGCCCGCGGCCUAUCAGCUUGUUGGUGGGGUAAUGGCCUACCAAGGCGACGACGGGUAGCCGACCUGAGAGGGUGACCGGCCACACUGGGACUGAGACACGGCCCAGACUCCUACGGGAGGCAGCAGUGGGGAAUAUUGCACAAUGGGCGGAAGCCUGAUGCAGCGACGCCGCGUGAGGGAUGAAGGCCUUCGGGUUGUAAACCUCUUUCAGCAGGGACGAAGCGUGAGUGACGGUACCUGCAGAAGAAGCACCGGCUAACUACGUGCCAGCAGCCGCGGUAAUACGUAGGGUGCGAGCGUUGUCCGGAAUUACUGGGCGUAAAGAGUUCGUAGGCGGUUUGUCGCGUCGUUUGUGAAAACCCGGGGCUCAACUUCGGGCUUGCAGGCGAUACGGGCAGACUUGAGUGUUUCAGGGGAGACUGGAAUUCCUGGUGUAGCGGUGAAAUGCGCAGAUAUCAGGAGGAACACCGGUGGCGAAAGCGGGUCUCUGGGAAACAACUGACGC